Non-coding RNA from Agelaius phoeniceus (red-winged blackbird), 773 nucleotides. NCBI's taxonomy places the organism in Eukaryota, Metazoa, Chordata, Aves, Passeriformes, Icteridae. The record is from RefSeq and is a predicted model, not a curated record.
AGAGGUUUGCCCCUCGUCCUGGACGCAGACGUCUGGAGGCUGGGGAAAGAGAGAGUUCCCAGUUUUCCAGGUUGCAAAAAGAGGUGAUGAGGGGAGGCUGUGUGUGAAAAGAAGGGAAGGAACAAGUGACGGCUGCAGGACCAGCGGAUAAACCACUACGCAAACACCGAAACACAGCCAAGGAAUUAAGGGAUAAUUCGUACAGAAAUCGUUAGCUGUGUGCUUCUUGGAAAUGUGUCUGAAGAAUCAGAACAAAGCAUGGAAGGCCAGAGUCCUUGAAGGAGCUCCAAAUGAUAAAGUCUGCCAUUCAUUUUAAACACUGCGUGCAUUGUGGAAACACAGGUCAAUUUGAAGGCAUUUGUCAGAUUUCCAGUUCCCUCUGCUCCUUUGCAAUGGAAAUUUGCAAUCAAAUCUCUUUGCUGGAGUUAGGAUGUCUGCCUUGAUCAGUUUGUAUGACUCUAUGCCCAAAGCACUGGCCAGGCCGUAACACGAGUGGAUGUGUUUGCCAUGGAAAUAAACACUUGGAAUACAUCUAUAUGUUUCUUGGCUUUUUGAGAAAAAUGAAGAAAAAAGUCUUGGCAUUUAAUUAGGAGUCACUAACCUGAUAAAUAUUGAACAUCAUUUCUUUGUGAGCAGCUCCAUGUGCUCAGAGUACUCUAUGGAUGUAUUCCACAAUUGCACUUAUUUAAUGCCUGUAUCACCUCGUGCCUAUUGUAUUUAUGUUGUCAUCAAUGUCAGAUUUUAAUUAAACAAUUAAAUCACUGUCACAGUAA